UACGUAGGGGGCAAGCGUUGUCCGGAUUUAUUGGGCGUAAAGCGCUCGCAGGUGGUUCGUCGCGUCGUGCGUGAAAGACCCCGGCUCAACUGGGGGAGGUCGUGCGAUACGGGCGAACUGGAGGCCAGUAGGGGGAUGCGGAAUUCCGGGUGUAGUGGUGGAAUGCGUAGAGAUCCGGAGGAACACCAGCGGCGAAGGCGGCAUCCUGGACUGGUCCUGACACUCAUGAGCGAAAGCGUGGGGAGCGAUCCGG
RNAcentral lists this ribosomal RNA (253 nucleotides) under uncultured bacterium. RNAcentral describes it as "partial 16S ribosomal RNA". It matches the Rfam family "Bacterial small subunit ribosomal RNA", at positions 524 to 776 of the family's 1533-position model. The record is from RNAcentral.